This 406-nucleotide ribosomal RNA is filed under the name uncultured bacterium. Its description in RNAcentral is "partial 16S ribosomal RNA". It matches the Rfam family "Bacterial small subunit ribosomal RNA", at positions 30 to 526 of the family's 1533-position model. The record is from RNAcentral.
AUUGAACGCUGGCGGCAGGCCUAACACAUGCAAGUCGAACGAGUGGAGGACGGGUGAGUAAUGUCUGGGAAACUGCCCGAUGGAGGGGGAUAACUACUGGAAACGGUAGCUAAUACAGCAUACCAUCGGAUGUUCCCAGAUGGGCUUAGCUAGUAGGUGGGGUAACGGCUCACAUAUGCCACGAUCCCUCGCUGGUCUGAGAGGGUGAACAGCCACACUGGAACGGAGACACGGUCCAGACUCCGACGGUAGGCAGCAGUGGGAAAUAUUGCACAAUGGGCGCAAGCCUGAUGCGGCCAUGCCGCGUGUAUUAAGAGGGCCUUCGGGUUGUAAAGUACUUUCAGCGAGGAGGCGUUACUCGCAGAAGAAGCAUCGGCUAACUCCGUGCCAGCAGCCGCGGUAAUAC